GAGGCAGCAAGGGGGAAUAUUGCACAAUGGGAGCAAGCCUGAUGCAACCAUGCCGUGUGUGUGAAGAAGGCCUUCAGGUUGUAAAGCACUUUCAGCGAGGAGGAAGGUGGUGAGCUUCAUACGUUCAUCAAUUGACGUCACUCGCAGAAGAAGCACCGGCUAACUCCGUGCCAGCAGCCGCGGUAAUACGGAGGGUGCAAGCGUUAAUCGGAAUUACUGGGGGUAAAGCGCACGCAGGCGGUUUGAUAAGUCAGAUGUGAAAUCCCCGGGUUCAAAAUGGGAACGGCAUAUGAAACUGGCAAGCGAGAGUAUCGUAGAGGGGGGUAGAAUUCCAGGUGUAGCGGUGAAAUGCGUAGAGAUCUGGAGGAAUACCGGUGGCGAAGGCGGCCGCCUGGACGAAGANGGACGGUCAGGUGCGAAAGCGUGGGG
This 429-nucleotide ribosomal RNA is filed under the name uncultured Gammaproteobacteria bacterium. RNAcentral's name for it is "bacterial SSU rRNA". It matches the Rfam family "Bacterial small subunit ribosomal RNA", at positions 345 to 766 of the family's 1533-position model. Lineage: Bacteria; Pseudomonadati; Pseudomonadota; Gammaproteobacteria. The record is from RNAcentral.